This 493-nucleotide ribosomal RNA is filed under the name uncultured bacterium. RNAcentral describes it as "partial 16S ribosomal RNA". It matches the Rfam family "Bacterial small subunit ribosomal RNA", at positions 28 to 507 of the family's 1533-position model. The record is from RNAcentral.
GACGAACGCUGGCGGCGUGCUUAACACAUGCAAGUCGAACGGUGAAGGGACCGGUUUUUGCUGGUUCUGGAUGAGUGGCGAACGGGUGAGUAACACGUGAGUAACCUGCCCCCUUCUUCUGGAUAACCGCAUGAAAGUGUGGCUAAUACGGGAUAUUCUGCGCCUGCUGCAUGGUGGGUGUGGGAAAGAUAUUGUUUCGGUGGGGGAUGGGCUCGCGGCCUAUCAGCUUGUUGGUGGGGUGAUGGCCUACCAAGGCGGUGACGGGUAGCCGGCCUGGGAGGGUGGAAGGUCACCACGGGGAUGAGGACAGGGCCAGGAUCCUGAGGGAGGCCGGCGUGGGGAAUAUUGGAACAUGGGGGGAAGGCUGAUGCCGGCGCGCCGGGGUGGGGAUGGAGGCCUUUGGGUUGUAAACCCUCUUCGGCAGUGAAGCCAGGCCGGUCCUUUUGUGGGUGGGUUGACGGUAGCUGGAUAAGAAGCGCCGGCUAACUACGUG